UCUACGGGUGGCAGCAGUGGGGAAUAUUGCACAAUGGGGGAAACCCUGAUGCAGCGACGCCGCGUGAGUGAGGAAGUAUUUCGGUAUGUAAAGCUCUAUCAGCAGGGAAGAAAAUGACGGUACCUGACUAAGAAGCCCCGGCUAACUACGUGCCAGCAGUCGCGGUAAUACGUAGGGGGCAAGCGUUAUCCGGAUUUACUGGGUGUAAAGGGAGCGUAGACGGUUAAUCAAGUCAGAAGUGAAAACCCAGGGCUCAACCCCGGGACUGCUCUUGGAACUGGAUGGCUGGAGUACAGGAGGGGCAGGCGGAAUUCCUAGUGUAGCGGUGAAAUGCGUAGAUAUUAGGAGGAACACCGGUGGCGAAGGCGGCCUGCUGGACUGUGACUGACGUUGAGGCCCGAAGGCGUGGGGAGCAAACAGGAUUAGAUACCCUUGUAGUC
Molecule: ribosomal RNA, 440 nt
Filed under: uncultured bacterium
Lineage: Bacteria
Description: partial 16S ribosomal RNA
Rfam family: Bacterial small subunit ribosomal RNA
Source: RNAcentral